This 776-nucleotide ribosomal RNA is filed under the name Ligilactobacillus salivarius. RNAcentral describes it as "bacterial SSU rRNA". It matches the Rfam family "Bacterial small subunit ribosomal RNA", at positions 33 to 782 of the family's 1533-position model. The record is from RNAcentral. Lineage: Bacteria; Bacillati; Bacillota; Bacilli; Lactobacillales; Lactobacillaceae.
ACGCUGGCGGCGUCCUAUACAUGCAAGUCGAACGAAACUUUCUUACACCGAAUGCUUGCAUUCACCGUAAGAAGUUGAGUGGCGGACGGGUGAGUAACACGUGGGUAACCUGCCUAAAAGAAGGGGAUAACACUUGGAAACAGGUGCUAAUACCGUAUAUCUCUAAGGAUCGCAUGAUCCUUAGAUGAAAGAUGGUUCUGCUAUCGCUUUUAGAUGGACCCGCGGCGUAUUAACUAGUUGGUGGGGUAACGGCCUACCAAGGUGAUGAUACGUAGCCGAACUGAGAGGUUGAUCGGCCACAUUGGGACUGAGACACGGCCCAAACUCCUACGGGAGGCAGCAGUAGGGAAUCUUCCACAAUGGACGCAAGUCUGAUGGAGCAACGCCGCGUGAGUGAAGAAGGUCUUCGGAUCGUAAAACUCUGUUGUUAGAGAAGAACACGAGUGAGAGUAACUGUUCAUUCGAUGACGGUAUCUAACCAGCAAGUCACGGCUAACUACGUGCCAGCAGCCGCGGUAAUACGUAGGUGGCAAGCGUUGUCCGGAUUUAUUGGGCGUAAAGGGAACGCAGGCGGUCUUUUAAGUCUGAUGUGAAAGCCUUCGGCUUAACCGGAGUAGUGCAUUGGAAACUGGAAGACUUGAGUGCAGAAGAGGAGAGUGGAACUCCAUGUGUAGCGGUGAAAUGCGUAGAUAUAUGGAAGAACACCAGUGGCGAAAGCGGCUCUCUGGUCUGUAACUGACGCUGAGGUUCGAAAGCGUGGGUAGCAACAGGAUAGA